Malus domestica (apple) is the source of this 1018-nucleotide non-coding RNA. The record is from RefSeq and is a predicted model, not a curated record. NCBI's taxonomy places the organism in Eukaryota, Viridiplantae, Streptophyta, Magnoliopsida, Rosales, Rosaceae.
ACAACAAGAAUUAAACUUCAUUGCCUAGCCUACUCUCCAUGUAUGCAUGCCUGAUUUUAAAAAAAAAAUCUAGUUGAAAUUAUGAGUUUCAUUUUCAUUCAAUUCUGUCGUAAACAAAAAAAUUAAAAAAAAAACAAACAAUAAAAAAUUCAGAAAAGUUGGGAACUUACGUUUCAACUUGGUCAUCCUAGUUACGAUCCAUAUUAAAGUAUAUUGAGAUUCACAAGUUGAAACUUUAAUACGUUCGUAUAAAAUAUAUUGAGAUUAUUAAAGUUUUUAGAUGUACAUCCCAGUUACUAUCCAUAUUAUUUCAGAAUUUUGAAUGUCAAAUUCCAUUCGGGUGCACCAAAAUUGAAAGUUUUCGUCACCAGUUUGGUCAGAACUGAUCAAAAUCGAAAUUUCCAAUGCAACUUGCACUUGUUCUCAAUAAUCUAUUGGCUUGGACUUUCAAGCCCAAAGCCCAACACCUAUGUAUGUUGGCCCAACGUAAAUUUAGGAGACGAAGAUGCCCUCCAUUACAAAAGCCCUUCCGGUCAAACACGGUGGAUUCUGGAUACGAAGGUUCAAAUACAAACGGGAUUUCCCUCCUCGCCGAGUCACUCCUCGGACCUCCGGUCCUCAGUCAAUGGCAGUCGCUCUGAGAAGACUUGCAGCGGCAUUCGGCUACUCGCCACAUCCUCAAUGCGUUCAAAGCUUGCUUCCGUUGCGCUUUGGAAAUAGAUAGAGUUCCCUUGUGUCGUCUGUUUCGUCUGAUGAGAGGGCGAUGCUCCGACCGUUCAUCCAGAAUUCCAACAAUGGCAUAACGGAGGUGGGUCUUUCCACAAGUUUGCCUGCAUCGACCCAACAGUUUUCAUAGAGUUUGGUGCUGUUGUUCAUUCAAAAUCCGUAGUUGGCGAGAGCUGUCAUUGGACCUCACUAUUGGGCAAUCAAGAAAGAUUACUUAAUUACCUUAAUCAACUUGGAAUAUACAAAUAAACAAAUAAAUAAAGCGAUGUGAAUCUAUGUAUUUACACCUGAA